ACCAGAUUAUUUUUAUUUAGUAUUUCCUACCAGUGAGUAAGGUCUAGUUUUGCCUAUUGGCUCUAUGGAAUAAUCUUGGUUCCAUGUUGAUUACUAAUAGACGGCACCCUUUUAGCACUGUUAUUACAACACAGUUGAAAUCUGAAAACAAGCAAAGCUCCUUUUCCACGAUAGCUCAAUUCUGUUUUCAGAGCUAGGAAGACAUACAUGUGUCAAUUAAGCAGAAAAUCCUGGAAAUAUGUAACAUUACCUGGAUUGUGUGCCAGUUUCUGGGUAAGAGGGGGUAGGAAGAUUAAUAUAAAGGUUAGUUGCAUGACCUCUUAGUUUAGCAAUGAAAACCUUCAGGGGCAUAUAUCACAGUUUAGACUUUCUGGGCUUAUCUGUGUAAUGUGGCCUGCCCUGUCCUGUUUAUAAACAUCAGCGAGACUGGCUGAUCCAGAAAGGUUUUGUUUGUAUCUGUGCUGAACUGUUCCGGGAAGAGCUUAAAAUAGCUACCUAAAAUUAUUUUAGGAUUUUGAACAGGGAAACAGCUCCGACAUGGUUUUUGAAAAGUCCUGGUUAAUUUCAGACAGAGGCUCAGGGGUCUUGUCAGCCCUGGAACAUAUCUGUGUUUGAUUGGGAACACUCAAGUUACAAGACAUACUGCUGACUGUGACUUUGCAGUCACCGGAGACACAGUUAAAUCCUGCUGGGACCACUAAUUCAACCUCACAAAUCCCCCUGGGAAGUGAGUCAGUAAGUAGUAGUCUCCCAUUAUACUAAUGGGAGAAGAGAAUAGAAGGGAAUUGCCCGAGGUCACAGUAGGCGCAGAGCAGAGAUUAGAAUUCAGGAGUUGAUGGCUCUGAUUCCUGUGGGACAUGUUCCCGCUCAGAAUUUUGUGCAGUGUAAAAUACAUUCCACAACCUCUGAUCAAACUGGUAUAACUCCUCACUGAGGCGUCACACCAUUGUGAAGUGGGACUUGUCUGAAACACUUUGGUGUAUUUUGAGCAUAGUUUUUGCACCUCACCCCACCCUUUCUGACCUAUGCUGGUUUGAUUAGAAACCUAGUUUAUUACAGGACUAGCAGAGAGACCGUGGACCAAGUAUCAUGGGAGGAACAGCAAAAGUUCAUUCAAGUCAGACUUCAGACUCUGUUUCCAACUGGAUCUCAGUGCCAUUUCUUCCAUGCUUCUAAUGUCAGCCAUUUCCACAGCUGCACAAGAAACACUGUACAGGAAGCAGAACAGAGCAGAUCCAGUCAGUUCUGCAGUUUUGCACCGUACAUGCAGUACCUUACACUGUGGGUAGGUACAUAUGGGAAAAUGUUGACUUCUGCGAAGUAGGUAGGUCCUUUCAGAGGUGUCUCAAAGAAUGCUCUAUGAAAAGAGCUCUGCUUUUAUUAAUUGAGUCAUUCUCUUGUGCAAUCAUUGUAAUAAAUAUCCUGCCUCACCUUUUCCAGGGCAGGCUUUGAUUGCAGCUCUCCUGACAUGCCUACCAACUAGCCGAAGUGCACACUUUUCAAGGUGGUUAUUAAGGGAUUAUAUCUACCCUGGGCUCACUGUUCAGUCUGCUCACUGGCACUUAUUGGGUCCCAAGUGCCAAUUUCACAAAGUGCUGAAUGCACUCACUCCACAUAAUUGGUCCUGAAGACAAGCACCCUGUCUUAAGAGCUUUGUAGCUGAUGAUUCAAAAUGCCAUUGUGUGGGUUUCUCUCCUUGUACUGCCAGUAGAGUGAGUCCUCCUUCCCAUCUUCUGACUACACUGGAUAGACAGGCAGCAGGUUGAUAUGGCAGCAAAGGAGAGCGGGGGGGAGAUAGAACAAAAUAGGAAAAAGGAGUAAAGGAGAAGAUGGCCAGGAACUCUGAAGGGAUUGUGCAGGUGCUGUGCAUAUCUGGAGAGCUGUGCAUGCGAAGGCAGGGUAGAAAGUGACGAGCAGGGUGGGGCACAAGGGAAACUGACCCCAUGUCAGUGAGAGUGCUGUUGAGUGAGUGGCUCAGUCACUAUUGCUCCUAGCCAGAGAGGGGCACAUAACUAAAGACUCUAUUUGCAUGCUGAGAAUUUCACUGUCUGGGUUUUUUAGGUACUGCCCUUCCUGCUACAUGCUGCAUAAAGAGAGCAGAAAAACCCACAACAAAAAAGAUAUUUUUUCUCUUCUCUCAGCCAGGGGCAUUCUCUGCCCACACCUUGCCCCUUCUAAUACCCUCUGUACUAGAAGAUAAGGGUCUGGCUACACUGUGGAGAGGGAAGUAUAUUUUUAAAUUAGCUAACCUCAUUGGAAACACAUGGAUUAGAUGCAGUUUAAUACCAUUACAAUUGUGAUAGCUGGUAUCUAACACCUGUUAAAAUACAACUUGCCCAGGCUACUUUAGGGUGUUGAAACAUGCUCAUUAAAAGGGGUUCGCUAACUGUGAUGAUUUGGGGACUCUAUGUAUAACUGAUGAAUUCUGUUUAAGUCUUUAUGAUUAUUUUUACUGUAUUCUGACAUCAUCCUUCUUGUGCUAAGGAGCAGGGGAGUGGUGCCUGGGUGUCCGUCUUUGAAUGGGACAAUCCUUAGGGUUUACCAACAGUGCCUGAACAGAACAAUGAGAUGGCUGAAGACUCGGACUAGUUCUCUGUACUCCUCUAAAGGAGGAGGAGUGGAAAAUCUCCAGGAGGGAAAGAAAGACUGAAGUGUUUGUACAGCCCUCUAAAACGAGAGGCUGCGAAGUUGGGGAGGGACUCACAGAGGAACAAAGAAACAGAUUUCCAGAACAUGGAGGAACCUUUUGAGUGAGGGACUAGCCAGGAGCUGAGGGAUAUGGUGGGCAGGCAGGGGUCAGAUAGCAAUUCCAUGUUCCAGAGGAGAAGUCAUGUACAGAAGGGAAUGGGGGAGAGGAAAGAUCCUGGACUCCUUCAGAGAGAGACUCUGACCAAAUCCCAAAGAACACUCAACAGGCCCCCACUCGUACUGGGACUGGACUACCACCAUCUUUGCUCCCCACUGUGCUCUGCACAAGGACGUGCAGGAUCGAGGCUGAACAAGGACAUGAAUGCGAGAAGGGUAAUUGGGAACCAACAAACAGGCAUCUUGUAUGAAACUGGAAUUGCAUAUUACAAAGAGGGUGCUAAUAAUACUGCUAAGAGUAGGUCACUGCAGGCUACGUGGCUCUGGGAAGAAGGAUAAAGGAGUUUGAGGCGCAAGUUGUGUUCUCGUCCAUCCUCCCUGUUGAAGGAAAAGGCCCAGACCACAAGUUAAUACUUCUAUGUGCUUUUGCUUGAUAUGCCUUCAUUUCAUCUCUGUACAUCUGCCAGUUGCAUCUCAGGUCCACAGAAAUUAUGGCAGAUAGCAUGCUGUGAACCGAGAGCACCAGAAGAUCAAGCACUGCUAGCACCAAGGGACUUUCCUACAUAAUUCAGCCAGUGGGAUUGAUAAUACAUUCUGUAUAGGACACUGCUUUAAUGUGACUACUGGUAUAACAGGUGCAAAUGUUUCUAUGCUCCUCCUAUCAUCUCCGUCCCUGAG
Trachemys scripta elegans is the source of this 3483-nucleotide long non-coding RNA. RefSeq lists it as uncharacterized. The record is from RefSeq and is a predicted model, not a curated record. The transcript has 6 exons. NCBI's taxonomy places the organism in Eukaryota, Metazoa, Chordata, Testudines, Emydidae.